UGCCCGCCUGUGGAGCAUGC
Molecule: unclassified non-coding RNA, 20 nt
Filed under: Mus musculus (house mouse)
Lineage: Eukaryota; Metazoa; Chordata; Mammalia; Rodentia; Muridae
Description: oocyte_clustered_small_RNA13031
Source: RNAcentral